RNAcentral lists this transfer RNA (133 nucleotides) under Xylariales sp. No.14919. RNAcentral describes it as "fungal sp. No.14919 tRNA". It matches the Rfam family "tRNA". From Rfam's summary of the family: Transfer RNA (tRNA) molecules are approximately 80 nucleotides in length. Their secondary structure includes four short double-helical elements and three loops (D, anti-codon, and T loops). Lineage: Eukaryota; Fungi; Ascomycota; Sordariomycetes; Xylariales. The record is from Rfam by way of RNAcentral.
GCCCGGUUAGCUCAAUCGGUAGAGCGUGAGACUCUUAAUCUCAAGGUUGCGGGUGAGUAGCAUACCAAUCAGUAUGGCAUUCUACAUAAAAAAUACUGACUCCAACGUAUAGGUUCGACCCCCGCAUCGGGCU